Molecule: ribosomal RNA, 234 nt
Filed under: uncultured bacterium
Lineage: Bacteria
Description: partial 16S ribosomal RNA
Rfam family: Bacterial small subunit ribosomal RNA
Source: RNAcentral
UGAGCAAUCUGCCCUUCUCUUUGGAAUAAGCGUUGGAAACGACGUCUAAUGCCGAAUACGACCUCCUUUCGCAUGAUCGGAGGUGGAAAGCUCCGGCGGAGAAGGAUGAGCUCGCGGCCUAUCAACUAGUUGGUGUGGGUAAUAGCUCACCAAGGCGAUGACGGGUAGCCGGCCUGAGAGGGUGACCGGCCACACGUGGGACUGAGACACGGCCCAGACUCCGUACGGGAGCAG